CUUGUUCCUUGGGUGGCGAGCGGCGGACGGGUGAGUAAUGCCUAGGAAAUUGCCCUGAUGUGGGGGAUAACCAUUGGAAACGAUGGCUAAUACCGCAUGAUGCCUACGGGCCAAAGAGGGGGACCUUCGGGCCUCUCGCGUCAGGAUAUGCCUAGGUGGGAUUAGCUAGUUGGUGAGGUAAUGGCUCACCAAGGCGACGAUCCCUAGCUGGUCUGAGAGGAUGAUCAGCCACACUGGAACUGAGACACGGUCCAGACUCCUACGGGAGGCAGCAGUGGGGAAUAUUGCACAAUGGGCGCAAGCCUGAUGCAGCCAUGCCGCGUGUAUGAAGAAGGCCUUCGGGUUGUAAAGUACUUUCAGUCGUGAGGAAGGUGGUGUUGUUAAUAGCAGCAUCAUUUGACGUUAGCGACAGAAGAAGCACCGGCUAACUCCGUGCCAGCAGCCGCGGUAAUACGGAGGGUGCGAGCGUUAAUCGGAAUUACUGGGCGUAAAGCGCAUGCAGGUGGUGGAUUAAGUCAGAUGUGAAAGCCCGGGGCUCAACCUC
Molecule: ribosomal RNA, 544 nt
Filed under: Vibrio sp. BAL348
Lineage: Bacteria; Pseudomonadati; Pseudomonadota; Gammaproteobacteria; Vibrionales; Vibrionaceae
Description: bacterial SSU rRNA
Rfam family: Bacterial small subunit ribosomal RNA
Source: RNAcentral